RNAcentral lists this long non-coding RNA (3090 nucleotides) under Equus caballus (horse). RNAcentral's name for it is "lncRNA (ENSECAG00000052604.1)". The record is from RNAcentral. Lineage: Eukaryota; Metazoa; Chordata; Mammalia; Perissodactyla; Equidae.
GGGUGUUCAUCUAUACAACUCCUGGAGAAGUCAGAGUGCAGAGUUGUUAGACGGUUAGAGAGAAAAUAGUUAGAGAAGUAGAGUUGCCCCUAGCUAGCGCCUCUGCUCCCUCCCAUCCUGGCAGGCUAGAGCAUAUCCAUAUGACUAGCCACCAAUGCAAGCAGACUGCACUAUGACCCAGAGAGGCAUGUCUGACCUCGGACAGCGGUCAGAGAGCGUCUUCCGAUUAGCUGGUUUCUCUGCCAGUCGGGUACAUCAGGAUUCUUAUAAGGCCACCGAGCAGGUCCCUGAAGCCACAAGAAUAAGUGAGAUCGUCUCCCCCACUCCCAGGAAAGGCUUCAGAAUAAGCAGGAAAAGACGGAAAGAUCUAACGAUACAAAAAGAUGGAGGAAUUUGGAUCCACCAUCACCCACAUUCUAAUUCUGGAUUCACCAUUUACUAGCUCUAUGAACUUCAGUAAGUUACAACAUCCCCAGGCCUCAGUUUUACCAUCUUGGAGGGGGUCAUAAAAUACGACCUAUCUUUCCGAUUUAAGUUGAGAAUUUAGUGAGGCAUCAUCAAGAUGUCUGUAAGCUUUAACUUACAGAUUGACACAGCUGUCCGUCGUGGAGAAGAAUCAGUUAUUAAACAUUUACUGCUUUUCUGAACGCAGUUUGUCAGCACACAAGUGAAAAGAAGGAAAGGAUGAUGAAGCGCGGGGCAGGAAAGAACAAGAAAGUCAACAGUGUAAGAAGAACUAGCACCUCUUUUAUUCUAAUGAGAUAUUACUAUGACUUUUGGCCGAUUAAACUGUGAACAUUUGUUUUUAAGUGAGUUUUUCCACAUUAGUCUACUGGACUGAGAGCCACUGAAGCAGAGCUUUUCAAAUCUGAAAGUCUAUCAGAAUUACCUGGGGGAGCUUGUUAACAUGCACAGUCCUGCCCCUUCUUCCCCAGAUCCUGACUCAGUAGGUCUAGGGUGAGGCCCAUGAUUUUGCAUUUCUAACAAGUGCCCAGGUAAUACUUUGUUACUGGUCUUCAUACCACACCUCAGCGCUGCACUAAACGGCAGGAUCUAUGCCUCAAGCAGUUACACCUUUAAUAAGCGCCCAGUAUGUUCAACACCCUACAGUAGCUACUUAGAGAAGAAGGAACAUAAUCUGUUUUCAACAAGCUCAUUGUCUUGCAGGAGCAAAAAAGAUACCUACAGAACUUUUUUCAUCUCUUAUCAACUUGAAAUUUAUUAUGGAGAAAAUUCUCAUCAUAAUGCAAAGAUGAUAAUAAUAGUACCCACUUCAUAGCAUGAUUGAGAAGAUUAAAUAAGAUCAUAUAGGGAAGCCAUGGAAUAUAAAGAAUUUAUUUUGAACAAUGCCUGGCACAUAGUAGAUGUUGAAAUCUUGGCCCUUGAGGUGGGGUAUGGGAAAGGGUAAGCGAGAGCUCACAGUCAUUGGUGGGAUUCUCAAGAAUCAGUCAAGCAAUAGGACCAGGAGUCACUCACAUGCGGCUGUGGUGGGCUCACUGAUACCCACAACAGGCAGUGGAUGAGGAAACCAAAGCACUGUUUCAGAUAGGAGUAUAAAGUUUCCCCAAACCAAGAGGUGGAAAGCACAUCUUGAAAAUUCAGAGACAAAACUUAGCAGACAAAAGGAAACAGAAAUGAUUGAAAGAAAGCAAAAUAUGUACUCUGGGCAACUCCCAGAAACCCCACUGACUGCAGCCUACUCUCAUGCAGCAACUGCAACAUGAAAUGGAGUCGGAUUGUCUGCUAUUAAAAGUUAGGCACUAGAUGAACUGAGUAAAUCCAUGAUCAAGAGUGGAAGCUGGUGGAAAUUAUGUUUAAUCACCAAAAGCAAUUCUGUUUUCCCUUUCAAAGCCUUUAUUUCUACAGAAGCAAUUCUCAGCCUUGACUGCACAUUGGAAUCACCUAGAGAGCCUGAAAAACUACUGAUGAUUAGAUCUCGCCUCCAGAGAUUCUGAUUUAAUUGGUCAGGGUGUAGCCAGGGCACAGGGAUGUUUAAAGUCUUCUCUAGUGAUUCUAAUGUCCAGCCAACAUUGAGAACCACUGUUAAAGUCUUCAUGACUCUUCCAGGCUCAGCUGCUAUGAAGAAAAAAAAAUUCAAAGACUCCACUAUGUAAGAAUUUCUAAAUAGGUGUCAAAAAUAAUUAAUGCUAUAAAAGGUCAAAAGAAAGUUUGUUAGGAAAGUUUCUUUGGGGAGAGUUAUUCUGUAACUCCUAUCCCCAGAAUGUAGGUGUAGGGAAUGCCUCCUUCUUCCCCUUAGUUAAGAGAGGGGGGCUUCAGGGGCUGGCCCCGUGGCUGAGCGGUUAGGUUCACACACUCUGCUGCAGGCAGCCCAGUGUUUCGUUGGUUCGAAUCCUGGGCGUGGACAUGGCACUGCUCAUCAAACCAUGCUGAGGCGGCGUCCCACAUGCCACAACUAGAAGGACCCACAACGAAGAAUAUACAACUAUGUACCGGGGGGCUUUGGGGAAAAAAAGGAAAAAAAUAAAGUCUUAAAAAAAAAAUAGAGGGGGGGGCUUCAGCAGGACUGCUUAGAGAGUUUUAUAUCAUCUGACAUAGCCAGGGAGACACAGUGGCUUGGUGUCUGACCAGUGGAAAAGUUUAAAGGCAGGAAGAAAUUUACUAACUGCUCCAAUGUUAAGAGGCAAGGAGAGGUAAACUGCUUUGGGAUGGGCCUGCACUUCCGGUUUGUCAGGACAAAGGAUCCCUAAGCAGAUUGCUCAGAAGAUGCAAAUUUGCAUGCCCUAGAAGCUCAUUCUCUCCACUCUUUCAGCAGCUUAGCAAAGAGCUGGCCUACCAGGUCUGCGUUCACUCAAAAGGAAACAGGCUAAUAAAAACAGCUGAUCUUGGAAGGUUUCAUCCUUCUAUUUUAUCUUUUUACUUAUAUCUUUCAUCUUUUUGUUUCCUAAAAGUAAGAGAAAUUUCAUGAGAAUGCCUACAUUUUCAAGUAGAAGCAAGGAAAGCACCUGCCCUCUGAAUACAUUUAAAGAGAGAGUGGAUGUCAAGAAAGAAAGAGAGUGAUGUCAGCAAAAUGGCAUACUAGGAGGUCCCAGCCCUUGUCCCCCUGCCAAAAAAAAAAAAAAAAAAAAAAAA